Long non-coding RNA from Lynx canadensis (Canada lynx), 1615 nucleotides. RefSeq lists it as uncharacterized. The transcript has 2 exons. The record is from RefSeq and is a predicted model, not a curated record. NCBI's taxonomy places the organism in Eukaryota, Metazoa, Chordata, Mammalia, Carnivora, Felidae.
GUGAGCAGGGGCGUGGAGUGGCGAGGGGAGAGCAACACCAUCUUUCACAGAACUUUCGACACCGGGGGCAAUCUUUUAUCAUCUGCGCCGCUCCAUAAGGCUGGCUCUAACCACCUGUGCCUAAUGUGAUGAAGGAGCUGGAUUUUAAACAAAGUGUUUCAUUUUAAUUACUUUAAAUUUAAAGAGCCACACACAGCUAAUGGGCAGCGCAGGUACAGCACGUAUGAGAUGAUUUCCAACAUUCAGAAAAGUUCUGGCGUUUAGGGAAAGGUAUUUGUUUCAUCUCUGCUCCCCAGCAUGGCCUGCUUAGAGGACUUCAGACAAAGGCGCACUCUCUUCUUACACAGCCACGGCCCAGCACACCGCGUCGAUCCCCCCACGGUUUACUAUGCCACCUACCAUGAACUUUCACACCCUUUAUCUCUACUGGGAUUCACCGGCCUGUGACAGAAGUGGGAAAGUGGCCCCCCAGUCUGGAAGCCUUCCCCCCGCCCACACCCACGGGCUGGACAACGCGACAGGAGCCCAGAUCCCCCAGUCACCGAGAGGACAGCUGACCAGGGUGGCAGUGUGAUCCACUUUGGGCAGUGCUGAGCGAGAAAUGCACUUUGGUUCAAACGCUGAGUCUUGGGGCUGUCAGAGCAGUCCGUUUUGGUCAAAGGAAAUUAAUAGACAGCCCCGUUUUCUUUCUGUGGUUUUUAUUCUCACCAUUAGAGAGCUCUGGAAACUGGACAUCCAUUUUCCUGUUUAAUUGUAACUAGCUGGUAGCACUGGUAUUAUGGUUCGUUACCUUAAUAAUGACUCCGAUUAAACCACUCAAUUGAAUUAAAACACCUCAACUUAUUGGAUUUUUCUUCAAAAUCUGUAAUUAUUAAUUCUUCAGUUGUCAAGUCAGUGAUUUGUAACGUCCUUUAGUUCUAGAACCAGAAAUGAAAUUUAAAUCUCAUCCAUGCUGCACACAAACAGAAAAUGUUCAAAGCCUUCUGUGGACAAGUCAAAGGCCGAGGCUCCCUGCUGCUGCUUUGACAAAACAAACUAGUCUAAGGAGAGUGUUCUGUUUUGAAUUUCACCAGGAGAAUCCGAGAUGCUUACGGCUGGCCUCACCUAAAGCAACUGAUAAUGAAACUCCCCACUACGCACACGGACUGGUAUUUACCAGGAACUUUAUAUAAGCAUUCACAAAGCUGCGAGGUCAUAGGCUUCGUUAUCCCAACAGUUCUUUGGUAUGUGAUGACGACUCCUCGUAGGCUGAUGGUACUUGGAACAUCUUCCUCUUAACUUUUCAAACGGCGUAGGAUCUAAUGAGACUCCAGGGCAUUUUCGUGUUUCCACAACUGCUGCUGUGUCAAUCAACUUUCACGGAUCAAUACAACUAACAUAUGGUCCGAGGCCGAAAAGCAGAGGAAACUCAGCAAAGGGCUGUCCCAACGUCGUCCUCUAGAGUCCGAUGAGCUGACCACCAGUACUCGUCGGCGGGCAGGGACCGUGACACAGUGAAUUCCAGGAGUUCGAUCUUGCACAGGAACGUUAUUUUCAUACUACUCCAAACAAAAAGGGCUCUCUGCAAAAUUUCUCCUAUUUUUUCCUGUUCUAAUUAAACCCAGGUCUAAUCUCU